GCCCUUUUGAUUACGUCCCUGCCCUUUGUACACACCGCCCGUCGCUACUACCGACGCGUCGUUCAGUGAGCUGCUCGGAGGGGCGUUUGUGUUUGCACGAGUGCCAGCAAGGUCCGCAAACUUGACGAUGUGGAGGAAGUAAAAGUCGUAACAAGGUUACGGUAGGUGAACCUGCCGUAGGAUCCUCA
Molecule: ribosomal RNA, 188 nt
Filed under: Panagrolaimus sp. PS1732
Lineage: Eukaryota; Metazoa; Nematoda; Chromadorea; Rhabditida; Panagrolaimidae
Description: partial 18S ribosomal RNA
Rfam family: Eukaryotic small subunit ribosomal RNA
Source: RNAcentral